This 325-nucleotide unclassified non-coding RNA is filed under the name Hevea brasiliensis (rubber tree). Lineage: Eukaryota; Viridiplantae; Streptophyta; Magnoliopsida; Malpighiales; Euphorbiaceae. The record is from RNAcentral.
AUACUUUCAGGUCCCCCCAUCAGUUGGCAGACUAAUUAUAAAGCUUGGCAACUACCUAAAGAGGAGCUGGAGGAGGAACAAAGAAUGAUUGAAGAGAUUACUGAGCUUUUAUGCUGGGAAAAGAAGUAUGAGAAAGGUGAGAUAGCUAUAUGGAGAAAACGUGUAAACUCCGAGUUCUGCAGUAAACGAGAUUCCCGUGUAACUCUAUGUGACCUCUCGAAUUCAGAAAAUGUCUGGUAUAAGAAGAUGGAGGCAUGUGUAACUCCGUAUCCUGAAACAAUCAAUUUGGAGCAAGUUUCUGGCGGAGAGCUCAAGCCAUUUCCGG